ACUCGGGGAUAGCCUUUCGAAAGAAAGAUUAAUACCCGAUGGCAUAGUUCUUCCGCAUGGUAGAACUAUUAAAGAAUUUCGGUCAUCGAUGGGGAUGCGUUCCAUUAGGUUGUUGGCGGGGUAACGGCCCACCAAGCCUUCGAUGGAUAGGGGUUCUGAGAGGAAGGUCCCCCACAUUGGAACUGAGACACGGUCCAAACUCCUACGGGAGGCAGCAGUGAGGAAUAUUGGUCAAUGGACGAGAGUCUGAACCAGCCAAGUAGCGUGAAGGAUGACUGCCCUAUGGGUUGUAAACUUCUUUUAUACGGGAAUAAAGUGAGGCACGCGUGCCUUUUUGUAUGUACCGUAUGAAUAAGGAUCGGCUAACUCCGUGCCAGCAGCCGCGGUAAUACGGAGGAUCCGAGCGUUAUCCGGAUUUAUUGGGUUUAAAGGGAGCGUAGGCGGACGCUUAAGUCAGUUGUGAAAGUUUGCGGCUCAACCGUAAAAUUGCAGUUGAUACUGGGUGUCUUGAGUACAGUAGAGGCAGGCGGAAUUCGUGGUGUAGCGGUGAAAUGCUUAGAUAUCACGAAGAACUCCGAUUGCGAAGGCAGCUUGCUGGACUGUAACUGACGCUGAUGCUCGAAAGUGUGGGUAUCAAACAGGAUUAGAUACCCUGGUAGUCCACACAGUAAACGA
This 675-nucleotide ribosomal RNA is filed under the name uncultured bacterium. RNAcentral's name for it is "bacterial SSU rRNA". It matches the Rfam family "Bacterial small subunit ribosomal RNA", at positions 135 to 809 of the family's 1533-position model. The record is from RNAcentral.